This 1210-nucleotide long non-coding RNA is filed under the name Setaria viridis. RNAcentral's name for it is "long non-coding RNA (SVIR_LNC002949)". The record is from RNAcentral. Lineage: Eukaryota; Viridiplantae; Streptophyta; Magnoliopsida; Poales; Poaceae.
AACACAAGCAGCCAAGAUUUCCCCAAGAAACACGUACUAACCAAAACCCCUCUACCCACUGCUCAUUUCACCCGGGAACAACAUGUCUGCCAACGGGAUGAGCAGGGUGUUCACCCCUGUGGUGCAAGGCAAGGACCAGCACAACAGCAUGAACAACAUGCAGGUAACUACACUAUAACUUGUAAUUGUAAGCAUUCGUUCUGACUAUCGUACAAGAAGAUCAUGUGGAGGUGGACUCGGGGAUUGAAUUGAACGAGCUGCUCGAUCUUGUAGAAUCAUAGCACGGGCAACAACACAAGUGUCCCUGUGACUGGCACUUCCUUCACCGGUGGCUCCUUCUUCAGUGGCAACUCAGUUAACGCGCCGCCGCCGCAGGUGAAAAAUACUCCUAUCAUAUUUUCAUUAAUCAGUUUCGAACAGAGUAAUAAUAUGCUUUAGUUUUGUUUCGCAUUUAGGGCCCAAGCCAUUACUCUACCUUUGGCAUCGGGGGAAAUUCCAGCUUCUGAUCAUGGGGCCGGCAGUGCCGCAGUGGCAGCAGGACUACCAGCUACAGCCUGAACUAAUUAAGUAGCACGAGCUUGCAAGAAUAUAUAUGUAUGUUUGAAUAAAGUCAUGAUAGCUUGCUAGCUACCUCGAUCAACGAAGCAACACAGUCCUGUUAUGAUCUAUACGAACCUGCAAGUGCAAAGAAUAAAGCAAGUAGCUCGAUCAGCGGAGCAACGCAGUCCUGUUAUGUAUUACUCCCUCCUCCCAAAUUAUAAGAAUUUUUAGCUUUUCUAAGUACAUAGUUCUUACUUUGCUAUGCACCUAAAUAUAAGUGUAUGUUUAGCUAUAUACAAACAUCUAUGCUAGAAAAACCAAAAGGACCUACAAUUUGAGGAAAUAUCUUCUAUACUGCUAAUGCCCUCAAAGCAAAUGGCACGAAUUUACAAUUUUACAUUGUGCAUCACUCUGGGCACACACGUUUGGUUUAUUGCCAACGUGCGCCUCGCCAUUUUUUGGCGCGCCCAUACAAAUUUGGCCAGUGCUUGAAUCGGUGCCGCUACCUUAGCGAACCCAUGCCCCUGCGCCCGUGCCAGAGGAGAGCUAGUUCAUUUUCUUGCCUAAGCAUCAUCGGCAAAACGAGCAUGACAAAUUUGUUCGCCCGCGCAUUGGCUGGGUGAGUACGGGCUACAACCAAACAUGGCCACAAUAACAACGACAUACUCCC